GACAGCAGUCGCCGCGGGAAUACAGAGGGUGCGAGCGUUAAUCGGAUUUACUGGGCGUAAAGCGUGCGUAGGCGGCUUCUUAAGUCGGAUGUGAAAUCCCUGAGCUUAACUUAGGAAUUGCAUUCGAUACUGGGAAGCUAGAGUAUGGGAGAGGAUGGUAGAAUUCCAGGUGUAGCGGUGAAAUGCGUAGAGAUCUGGAGGAAUACCGAUGGCGAAGGCAGCCAUCUGGCCUAAUACUGACGCUGAGGUACGAAAGCAUGGGGAGCAAACAGGAUUAAUACCCCAGUAGUCCCUGUCUCUUAUACA
RNAcentral lists this ribosomal RNA (306 nucleotides) under uncultured bacterium. RNAcentral's name for it is "partial 16S ribosomal RNA". It matches the Rfam family "Bacterial small subunit ribosomal RNA", at positions 507 to 808 of the family's 1533-position model. The record is from RNAcentral.